AUGUGCACAGCACAGAUGUUGCAGGACAUGGAUCAGCGGCUGCAGGAGGAAGGGUUGGACUCCUCGGCCUCCAGCGAUGAGCGUCUGUCUCUGCUGUGGCAGCUUUACAGGAGCAGCGAAAGUACCGUGAGAUCCCUCAACCAGCAGAUACAAGAUCUGCAGAAAGAACGUGUUGCUGAGAUUGAAAAUGUUCAGCAAUAUGUUAAUCAAAUUAAGAGUCUCACAAAGACCCGAGAUUCUGUGGCUUUACAUCUUGAGCAAGAAAACAAAACGCUCCAUGCUACUCUGGAUGACAUCUACCGACAACAAGAAGCACAGAGGAGUGAGAUCUCUGAGAUGCUACUUCAGGAAGGUCUGGCUGAUAUUAUUCCCAUCAGCCUGAGUGAACAGGUGGCGUACCUCCUCGCAGACAGAGCCUCCCUGCUGGAGAAAACACAAAGCCAGGAGAAUGUGGAUGGGAAGACCGCACAGGAGCCUGAUGUCCGUAAGGAGCAAACGUCAAAGGAGUGUAGAGAGAAUGUGGUCAAAAAGGUGGCACCACCAGACAUUCAGAGCCCUUGGAAGAGGCUUCUAGGACUCAGAAAGGCUGCUCAGAGUGAACAGAAAUUACUGCCUACGGUUGACCUGCAGUUCAGCAGGGAUGACACACUGAAGGGACGAACAUUGCAGGAACUGGAGCGAGAUGUAGAAGAGGCCUCUGCUCGACUCGCCAUGGCCCACAAGGAGAUCCGCAGACUCACGGAUGAGCUGGAGUCUGCUCACCUGACCCAAAAGGCUUAUGAACCAGAGCUGCAAGAAGCUCAAAUGGAAGUCGAGCACCUCCGUCAUGAAGUGGAGAAACUGAAACGCUGUGAAGUUGUUGAAUUGAGAAAAACGAAAGAGAUAAAUGAGAAACAGGAAGAAGAGCUGUGCCACCUUAGAGAGACGGUGAAGAGGCUACAGGUGGAGCAUGUGCAUUUGCUUGAAAUGACUGAAGGCUCUGACAGCACUGUCACUCCAUCCAAAGACAAGAAGCCACAGGAAGAGGAUAUCCAUCAAGGGUGUCUUGACAAGAUGCAGGAGAGGUUACACAUGCUGCGAGAUCUGACGCAGGUCACGCUGAAGCUGCGGAUGGAGUUCGAGAUGGAGGCCGACCUUCGAAGGAGGGCAGUGGAUGAAUGUGAAGAGCAGAAGAGGAAGAGGACGGAGGCAGAGCAGUUGGUGAGAGACUUCCAGAACCUCUGUGAGAAGCAGGCGGAUGAUUACAGGACCACCGUCAGCAGCCUUCAGGUGGAGAUGAGAGAUUUAGUAACUAAGGUACGAGAGCUUGAGACACAGGAUGUGGAAAGACAAUGUGACAAACACCUGAAGCAGGUGUUGUCUCUGGAGGAUAACGUUUGCCAGCUGAAGCUUGCCCUUCAAGAGGAGCAGCAGAAGACUAGGCAGCUGUCUAUGACCAUGCAGAGGGAAAUCGACCAGGCCAAGGCUUUGGUCCAGUCACAGGACGUCCAGCUUCAGCAGGAUGCAGAAGAGCAGAGGAGGAUGUUUGAGGAGCUGCAGGGCAUCCAGAACAUCCUCAGCACCACCAAACAAGAGCUGCUGUCCCAGAGGAGAAACAACACACAGCUGCAAAACAGCAUCAGUGACGCCGAGCAGGAGAACCUCAGGCUCCAACAAAACACUGAAGACUUGAGGAACAGACUAAGCAGCAGUCAACAGGAGACUGCCUCUCUGACGACAGAACUUCAGCUAGCUCUAGUUAGAUUGGACACCGAGAAAAGUAAAUACAACGACAAGCGGAUCCACUACAAAAACAAGCUGAGCCGAGCCAGAGGGGUUUACCUGAGAGAGACGGGGUGGCGUGACGAAAAAAUAAAAGACCUGGACAAAGAGAUUUUUAUUCUGAGGAAACAGGAGGAAAAGACGGCACACAUGAUGAAGACGGUCACAUCUGAAAAUGAGAGUCUGCUUCAGAAGAACAGACAGCUUCUUUUACAGCUGCAUGACUUUGAAGAGGCACAGAAAAAUGCUUCGGAUGCGAUUUCCACCAUGCAGAUGAGGAUGAAUUUGCUUGAAACAGAAAAUGUUCAGCUAAAGCAGACAACAGCACAAAUGUCGGAGCACAUCGAAUGUCUGACGAUACUGGCCGAGACGAACUGUGAUGUAAGUACAUUCCUUUAG
Cyprinus carpio (common carp) is the source of this 2160-nucleotide long non-coding RNA. The record is from Ensembl. NCBI's taxonomy places the organism in Eukaryota, Metazoa, Chordata, Actinopteri, Cypriniformes, Cyprinidae.